RNAcentral lists this ribosomal RNA (508 nucleotides) under proteobacterium MS-M-76. RNAcentral's name for it is "bacterial SSU rRNA". It matches the Rfam family "Bacterial small subunit ribosomal RNA", at positions 116 to 659 of the family's 1533-position model. The record is from RNAcentral. Lineage: Bacteria; Pseudomonadati; Pseudomonadota.
CGUGGGAACCUUCCCUAUGGUACGGAAUAGCUCCGGGAAACUGGAAUUAAUACCGUAUAUGCCCUUCGGGGGAAAGAUUUAUCGCCAUAGGAUGGGCCCGCGUUGGAUUAGCUUGUUGGUGAGGUAAUGGCUCACCAAGGCGACGAUCCAUAGCUGGUCUUAGAGGAUGAUCAGCCACACUGGGACUGAGACACGGCCCAGACUCCUACGGGAGGCAGCAGUGGGGAAUAUUGGACAAUGGGCGAAAGCCUGAUCCAGCCAUGCCGCGUGAGUGACGAAGGCCUUAGGGUUGUAAAGCUCUUUUGGCGGGGACGAUAAUGACGGUACCCGCAGAAUAAGCCCCGGCUAACUUCGUGCCAGCAGCCGCGGUAAUACGAAGGGGGCUAGCGUUGUUCGGAAUCACUGGGCGUAAAGCGCACGUAGGCUGACUGGUCAGUUGGGGGUGAAAUCCCGGGGCUCAACCCCGGAACUGCCUUCAAUACUGCCAGUCUUGAGUCCGAGAGAGGUG